RNAcentral lists this signal recognition particle RNA (262 nucleotides) under Lachnospiraceae bacterium. Its description in RNAcentral is "signal recognition particle sRNA large type". It matches the Rfam family "Bacterial large signal recognition particle RNA". From Rfam's summary of the family: The signal recognition particle (SRP) is a universally conserved ribonucleoprotein involved in the co-translational targeting of proteins to membranes. Archaeal SRP consists of a 7S RNA and homologues of the eukaryotic SRP19 and SRP54 proteins. Lineage: Bacteria; Bacillati; Bacillota; Clostridia; Lachnospirales; Lachnospiraceae. The record is from RNAcentral.
CCGUGCAGCCGGGGAGGUAGCGGUGCCCUGUACCUGAAAUCCGCUAUAGCAGGGGUGAUGGCAUGUCGCGGGCGCGCCGACGGGGAGCCGCCCGAUGUAAGUGGUGUAGACGUCCGGGUCUCGCGCAAUGGAAAUCUGUGAACCGUGUCAGGGCAGGAAUGCAGCAGCACUAAGCGGAACCUUUCAUGUGCCGUGAGGAAGCCUGGGCCGAGCUAACUGCAUCGGUAACGUCUUUGAAAGCAGUUCAACACAUGCCGCACGG